CGUAACUGAUCAGCUUUGAAGUCAUUGGAAUGGUUAUAUGACCUUUUUCAGGUUGAAUGGUGGUCGUCUCACUCACCCCUACCGCCUGUGAGCGAAAAAACCACCCUUGCAAGCCAGCAGAGCCG
Etheostoma cragini (Arkansas darter) is the source of this 125-nucleotide long non-coding RNA. RefSeq lists it as uncharacterized. The transcript is spliced from 3 exons. The record is from RefSeq and is a predicted model, not a curated record. Lineage: Eukaryota; Metazoa; Chordata; Actinopteri; Perciformes; Percidae.